CCUACGGGUGACAUCAGUGGGGAAUCUUCCGCAAUGGGCGCAAGCCUGACGCAGCCAUGCCGCGUGAACGAAGACGGUCUUCGGAUUGUAAAGUUCUGUCCUUAUCGAAGAGAGAGGAUAGAGUGAAAAAUGAUAUACUAGAACGUUAGAUGAGGAGGCAGCCCCGGCUAACUACGUGCCAGCAGCCGCGGUAAUACGUAGGGGGCGAGCGUUGUCCGGAAUCACUGGGUGUAAAGGGCGCGUAGGCGGUAAUAUAAGUCAGAUGUGAAAGGUGGGGGCUCAACCCCUAGAGUGCAACUGAUACUGGAUAACUUGAGUGUGAGAGAGGGAAGCGGAAUUCGUAGUGUAGCGGUGAAAUGCGUAGAUAUUAGGAGGAACACCAGUGGCGAAGGCGGCUUUCUGGCUCAUAACUGACGCUGAGGCGCGAAAGCGUGGGGAGCAAACAGGAUUAGAUACCCGAGUAGUC
This 466-nucleotide ribosomal RNA is filed under the name uncultured bacterium. Its description in RNAcentral is "partial 16S ribosomal RNA". It matches the Rfam family "Bacterial small subunit ribosomal RNA", at positions 338 to 795 of the family's 1533-position model. The record is from RNAcentral.